This 497-nucleotide ribosomal RNA is filed under the name uncultured bacterium. Its description in RNAcentral is "partial 16S ribosomal RNA". It matches the Rfam family "Bacterial small subunit ribosomal RNA", at positions 28 to 507 of the family's 1533-position model. The record is from RNAcentral.
GAUGAACGCUGGCGGCGUGCCUAAUACAUGCAAGUCGAGCGAACAGACGAGGAGCUUGCUCCUUCGACGUUAGCGGCGGACGGGUGAGUAACACGUAGGUAACCUACCUAUAAGACUGGGAUAACUUCGGGAAACCGGAGCUAAUACCGGAUAAUAUUUCGAACCGCAUGGUUCGAUAGUGAAAGAUGGCUUUGCUAUCACUUAUAGAUGGACCUGCGCCGUAUUAGCUAGUUGGUAAGGUAACGGCUUACCAAGGCAACGAUACGUAGCCGACCUGAGAGGGUGAUCGGCCACACUGGAACUGAGACACGGUCCAGACUCCUACGGGAGGCAGCAGUAGGGAAUCUUCCGCAAUGGGCGAAAGCCUGACGGAGCAACGCCGCGUGAGUGAUGAAGGUCUUCGGAUCGUAAAACUCUGUUAUUAGGGAAGAACAAACGUGUAAGUAACUGUGCACGUCUUGACGGUACCUUAUCAGAAAGCCACGGCUAACUACGUG